AAGUUCAGAUAUAGGAUAUAGGUGGCUAGUGAAAUUUGGAUCGGCAGCAUCCAGAUUGUGUUCAUGUACCAUAUGAAAUCGGCGAUUCUCUUUGUAUCUACACUCAUCAGAUUAAUCAUCCCUCCGCUAUUGUGGCUUUGCCUUGACUGACUCGACAGAUGAAGACCCUUCUUAUAUAUCUGGGAUAUCAGAGCUCCUUUCAGACGCAUACCUAGUUGGCGAGCCCCAAAAAUCCAUUGCCUUUGUGCAGUCACUUCAACCAUUUUGGCACUUAUGAAUGCUAAUGCAAUAAUGUAGCCCGUCUUUAAGCUGUCAUUCUUCUUCUGACUUAAAAAUGCCACAAAGUCAUUGAUCAGGAAGAUAGCCAUGUAAAUGGAUGCGCUGCUGGUGUUUUCUGCCUCCUUGACUUGUUUUGGACUGUUGUUAAAUGAAUGGGAGAGGACUUUGGCAGAGUCCUUGACGUCAAUGCCUGGGAUUUCUUCUUGUUCGAGCGGUUUCUUGUACCCAACUUUGAAUAAUGGAUUAAGCCAGGAGAAAGUGAUGAGUUGGAGAAGAGUAGCACUUUGAUAAGGUAAAAAGCUUCAACAAAGAUAUAGAGGCGUCUUCUACAUUCACAGCAGUGACAUGAAGUCAAAUUACUUCUGUUGCCAGUUUGGGAUUAGAUAGAUAGCUCUAAAGAAGUUAUAAAGCUGUGCAACAGUCUGAGGGUUAAGCAGAAGAACUGAAUUUUUAGCAUGGGUAGGUAAGCAUCUAAACUGGUUGAGAUCCAUGGUUGUACAUAUGACCGCAGUGGCGAAGUCUAACUUGUUUUGUACAUUAGCGUCUAAUAUGAAAUAAGGCAGUUUACUAUCA
Long non-coding RNA from Papaver somniferum (opium poppy), 852 nucleotides. RefSeq lists it as uncharacterized. Lineage: Eukaryota; Viridiplantae; Streptophyta; Magnoliopsida; Ranunculales; Papaveraceae. The record is from RefSeq and is a predicted model, not a curated record. The transcript has 4 exons.